CUCCGAAGCAGCCCCUGCAGGCCUGGCCUCCUCCCUCUGGUUUGUGACUUCAUCAAAGGGCAAGGCAGAACACAGAGGCCGCAGGGCAGGGCAAAGCCAAUGAGCAGGUGGGGGCACCCGAGACCCUUCGGUCCUCUGUCCGGGAGCCAGGGCCUUUCCCUCAGACAUCGACGCCUUGGGCUUGGGGUCAGAACACGUGGCAGAGGCCUGGACCACCCCAC
This 221-nucleotide long non-coding RNA is filed under the name Homo sapiens (human). RNAcentral describes it as "HSALNT0254327". The record is from RNAcentral. Lineage: Eukaryota; Metazoa; Chordata; Mammalia; Primates; Hominidae.